RNAcentral lists this ribosomal RNA (433 nucleotides) under uncultured bacterium. RNAcentral's name for it is "partial 16S ribosomal RNA". It matches the Rfam family "Bacterial small subunit ribosomal RNA", at positions 29 to 507 of the family's 1533-position model. The record is from RNAcentral.
AACGAACGCUGGCGGCAUGCCUAACACAUGCAAGUCGAACGAUGCCUUCGGGCAUAGUGGCGCACGGGUGCGUAACGCGUGGGAAUCUGCCUUUCGGUUCGGAAUAACUCAGGGAAACUUGAGCUAAUACCGGAUAACGUCGCAAGACCAAAGAUUUAUCACCGAAAGAUGAGCCCGCGUAGUAUUAGCUAGUUGGUGAGGUAAAGGCUCACCAAGGCGACGAUCCUUAGCUGGUCUGAGAGGAUGAUCAGCCACACUGGGACUGAGACACGGCCCAGACUCCUACGGGAGGCAGCAGUGGGGAAUAUUGGACAAUGGGCGAAAGCCUGAUCCAGCAAUGCCGCGUGAGUGAUGAAGGCCUUAGGGUUGUAAAGCUCUUUUACCCGGGAAGAUAAUGACGGUACCGGGAGAAUAAGCCCCGGCUAACUCCGUG